CAGAGAAAGGCUAUCGCCUCCUUGUUCAUGCUUAUGUCUUGGGAGAUUUGGAAAGAGCAUAAUGCAAGGGUUUUUCGUAACAACGCUGCUACGACGAUGAUGCUCGUCGCGAAGAUAAAAGAGGAGGUCCAUCUUUGGGCUAUUGCCAGUGCCACGCACUUGAGUAUUGUAAUGUCGUGA
Molecule: ribosomal RNA, 180 nt
Filed under: Triticum aestivum (bread wheat)
Lineage: Eukaryota; Viridiplantae; Streptophyta; Magnoliopsida; Poales; Poaceae
Description: partial small subunit ribosomal RNA
Source: RNAcentral